UAUAGACAUGAAUGUGUAAUGGUUAACUUUAUUAUAUUUCUGUUACUAAACGCUUUAAAAUUUGAAAUCAAGUGCAUAUAGGGGUUGUGGGGGUAAAGUGGACAACCUAAGCAUUUUGGUCGUUUCCAGUGGAAAUGCGACGAAAUCCAUCUGCUUUUCCGAUUAACAUGGAAGAUAUUGAUAUACCUACUCUAGAAAUCUUCUAAGGGAUAACAUUUUAAAAAUAUUGUUUUCUUUGAUUAUUUUUUUCACCAAAACGAGCAUCAAAAUAUCGUGAAAAAAAAAACGGUGGGGUAAAAUGGACAAUCGAUGGGGUAAAAUGAACAAGUCGUUAAAUGUUAUAUAACAGCAUAUUGUUUCUAUGCUUUCAUUUACUAUCAAAUUUCAUACGAAACCUUUAUUUUGUUGUUUCCAAACUUUUAAUACAAAAUUUGAAAUACACUUAAAUAAUUAUUGCAAAAACAGUGUAAAAACUAGCACUGUUUUGGAUGAAAAUUUUAUUUUGUUGAUUGUUGGGCUGCAAAACGGUGAGUCGAUAAGGAGAGCGUCCAACAUAGCUCUGGUCCUCACAAGUUCCUACCUCAUGCUUCCACGGGUCAAGCGAUGACAAAGACCGCCAGCUAAGAGUUGUGUGCCUAGCUGGUAGUGCAGCCUGGGCACUGUUGUCCUUCUGACUUCAGCUAGAUUGAGGAGGUACGAUCCGAGCGUCUGUUCACCAAGGAGGUGCGGCUCAAACAGCGUCUGUUCUGGUAUCCAGCGGCUGAGUAAGAAACGCUGCACCACGCCCAGCUAGAUCCAAGGUGGUAGCCCCAUCAGCGCGGUCGUCCCAGUGUUGGUUGGGACGUUAAACAGAACUGGCACGAUGGCCCUCCGGCGAGACAGGAGUGUUGGCGUAGGCCCAAUAAGCCACCCGUAAAAUCCUCAUUGCGAAUAACAUAGGAGAAAAUACGACUCGAUACAAUCGGCAAAGACCCACGCGACGAAAUAAGGACUACGUUUGGAAACUUGGAACAUGGAAUUGCAAGUCACUAGGUUUCGCAGGAUGUGACAGGAUAAUUUACGACGAACUACAUCCCCGCAACUUCGACAUCGUGGCGUUGCAGGAACUGUGUUGGACUGGACAGAAAGUGUGGAAAAGCGGACAUCGAGCGGCUACCUUCUACCAAAGCUGUGGCACCACCAAUGAACUGGGAACAGGAUUUAUAGUGUUGGGCAAGAUGCGACAACGUGUGAUCGGGUGGCAGCCGAUCAACGCAAGGAUGUGCAUAUUAAGAGUUAAGGGCCGUUUCUUCAACUACAGCAUCAUUAAUGUCUACUGCCCACACGAAGGGAGACCUGAUGACGAGAAAAAAGCGUUCUACGCGCAGUUAGAGCAAACAUACGAUGAUUGCUCGCCGCGUGACGUGAAAAUCGUCGGCGACAUGAACGCGCAGGUAGAAAGGGAGGAAAUGUACAGACCGGUAAUCGGGCGAAACAACCUGCACGCCGUAUCGAAUGAUAACGGCCAGCGAUGCGUAAACUUUGCAGCAUCCUGUGGCAUGAUAGUCCGAAGCAUCUUCUUCCCCCGCAAAGAUAUCCACAAAGCCACCUGGAGAUCACCCGACCAUCAAACAGAAAACCAAAUCGACCACGUUCUAAUCGACGGUAAAUUCUUCUCGGACAUAACCAAUGUCCGUACAUACCGCAGUGCGAAUAUAGAUUCGGAUCACUACUUAGUCGCUGUAUGCAUGCGCUCAAAACUUUCGACAGUUAUCACCACGCGUCGAAGUCGAACGCCGCGGCUCAACAUCGAGCAGCUGCGUAACGUAGAAGUGGCGCAAGACUACGCGCAGCAGUUUAACUAGACUGACUCUACAGAGAAAAUAGGUAGAGAAGCGAAGAGUGAACAGCCGUCUGAACGGCAACACUUUUUCUGUUUUGAUUUCGUAACUCGGAUGUUGGCAACUGUCGAAAAACAGAUUAAUCCACCUAUCGAGGGUAGUGUCUUUCUCGUGUACUGCAAUAGAAAAUGAUUUAUGCUGUUGAGUAAUUAACAAGAAAUCAUCUAAAAUGUAUACCAAAAAGGAUCAAUUUUCGUCAAUUUAAGGAAUCAAUGUUAUUUACAGUAAUAUCCUUGAUGCUGUUGAAAAUGCUUUGACAUCCAUGUGCACAACAAAUAUCCUUGAUAUUUAAAAAUAUUGGUAAAAAAAUGUUUCGAAUGAUCGCAAUACUUAUCAUGAAUUAUGCGGCAAUCGUCAAGGUUUGUUGAUUUUGUUCGAUAGGAUACCAGUUUGACGGUUCGAUAAGGUUUUUUUGGCUUCACACUCUUCGCUUCUCUACCUAUUUUCUCUGCACGCUCGUUGAAAACUACUCUAAAGUGAGUCGUUUUCGACUCACUUUGGUACAAAGUGGAACAGCUCAAAAGAGAGUAAAGUCCCGUUACUCACUUUUGAGUAACGGAGGAAUUUUAAAAAUUAGAGUAGCUUCAACUCACUUUCUUUAUUUGGAUAAAAGCAAAAGUGAGUAACUGCUACUCACUUUUGCUCAUUAUUUUUUAGAAAAUAUGCUUAUAAGAAUAACAAUAAAACGAAUUUAAAUACGCAACUAAUCAACUUUAUUAAUUUAAAUUUCGUGGACAUUAAACAUAAACAUUUACAAUAAAUAAAUAUAUAAAAAAAAUCAUGAAUCAGCUUCCUUCGGUCUGUUCCUUGCAAGGUCCAUGAUCUUUCCUUUUUGGAUCGAUCGGCAUCGUUGACGACCCACGGGCGAUCCUUCUGCUCUUUUGAGAGCUAGCAGCGAUGUGAAUGAUAAUCACAUAAUCCUUUCGAACCGAUUUCCUCGUAACGGAUCCAUGGAUGUCUAUCGGCUUCGGGUAUCCUUUUGUGCAAUUCCUGCAAAAUAUUUUCGUGGCCAUUAAUGAGACUAUUCCAUUAUAUUGCAUUUAUUUCUAGUGGGAGACUUACCUUGCUGUUCUAAUAAUAGUUUUCACUAUAAACAAUUACUUAAUCUGAUGUAUAAAAUAAACUAUUUGGCGAAAAAUUGCAACUUUUCUCAUUUGCAUGAGCGGACUUGAAAUUUUUACAAGGUUUUGCCCGUUACGGGAGAGUAGGAUUGUACAGCCAUUACUCAAAAGUGAGUAAACUUAAAUUUUCUUCUGGGAGAGUAGAAAGCUACUCAGUUCAGUAAAAAAAUGUUACUCACUUUUGACAGUUUUCGCAAAAGUAUUGAAGUGAGUCGAAAACGACUCACUUUAGAGUAGUUUUCAACGAGCGUGUGUGACUCUAGUUAGCAGUGGCCCUACCAACGGAAGAGCAGCUUUGCGGAGCUACACUUGAAGAUGGCUGGAGGGACAUCCGAUCCGCCAUAGGUAGUACCUCGGCUACAGCACUAGGCUUCGCGACUCCGAAUCACAGAAACGACUGGUACGACGGCGAAUGUGAACAGUUGAAAAGCGAGAAGAAUGCAGCAUGCACGCAGAACUCGAUGUACACAGCGCAACCAGUAACUUUCACGCAGCGACCGAAAAGACAAAAGAAUUUUCACGCAAAUUUGUGUAACACUGGAUCAGCACAAAUUUGUGUUGAUCUAGUCGUACACAAAUAUGAGUGAAAAAUCCUUUGUCUUUUUGCAAGUUACUCGUGCGCUGUGUACUUUCGUUUUAGGGUGUGGGCAAGAAUGCUGCAACACCGUACGAGAGCGAAUGAGCAGUGAUGGAAUCACUCUCAUCGUGAAGCAAUUCGCGAGUGUAAAGCCAACACAAGGUUUACUCACGAUGCCGAGAGUAAACAGUGUGUGAGUUUAUUCGCACCCGCCUGCUUCGUGAGUAAGAAGCAAAACAAAACGGAAACACUCAAGAGUUUUUAUUCGUGAAGAACUAGUAGAGGUGCGGGAAGUGCAUUUUAUUGUGAUUAUAAUAGCAAAUCCAGUGAUUAUCCAACAUAAACUAAGGCUUUAUGCUUCAUUGUUCCUGAAAAGCAGCACUGCUAGUCGUUAAAAUGCGUUUUUCGUCAAAAUGCAAAAAACUCACGAAGCUUCGCGAAUCACAUGCGAGUGCUUGCCAGCUUCGUUUACUCACGAAUAAAGAAGUGUGAAUAUUCUCGGGCCCCGGUGCUUCACGAGUAUGUUUGUUUUGGUUUGUGUCUGCUCAACUGCAAUCUUGACCAUUUUCCAUCUCUCCGAAUGAGGCACGUUACAGACAGGCGCGGAACAGGCAGAACUCAGUCUUCCGGAUGAAGAAGCGUCAGCAGGAAAAACGAGAUCGCGAAGCGAUGGAAGAGCUGUACCGCGCUAAGGACACACGAAAGUUCUACGAGAAGCUGAACCGCUUGCGCAGAGGCUUCGUGCCACAAGCCGACAUGUGCCGAUAUAAUCACGUGAAUAUUCUCACGAGCGAGCGUGAGGUGGCGGCAGCAUUACGAUGAGCACCUCAAUGGCGACGUUGCAAGUACCGAAGGUGGCGUGGUAACAGAUCUAAGAGUAUGUUUGGUAACAGAUCUAGGAGUAUAUUUGCUGAUUUCCUAUUCAUAUGGGACAGUUAUGCAGUUUAUUUGAUUUUAAUGUUAAAGAUCAGCAAAAGUAUAAUGAUUCAUGCUUAGGCAUAAUCAAUCGUUAAAACAUGUUAAAAAACAAUAAAAGCCAUGAAAUUAUACCCUGUUCAUAUUACCCCCACCACCCCUACGCUGAAGGAAAACACCAUCCUGAAAUCAACUAAGGGUCUGUUCCAAUUGGCGAAUUAAAAUUAAGUUUUACUUAAAUUUGACAGUUCGACACUUUAACUUGACAGUUCUCCUAAGGAAAUAAUUAUCGAACUGUCAAGUUUAAGUAAAAAUUAAUUUUAAUUCUCCAAUUGAAACAGACCCUAAGAAGUGAUACAGUGACACGAACACGCUCCAGUUUGACGCUUUGUAUUAGGAAAACCCCGUACGUAAAAUCAUUUGGUACAACUAUUUCGGAAAGGAAAUUGCUUGGACUACCUUGGGCAUUGAGUAGCUUCGUGCCUGCCACACGAUGUACACAUACAAAAUGGUUAUUGGCAGAUGAAACUAUCAGUUAAUAACUGUGGGAGUGCUCAUAGAAUACUAUGCCGAGAAGGGUGUCAGGCCAUUCGGCCGAAUGGUCAUCAGGCCGAAUGGUCAUUGGGUCUUCUUCUUGCCGUUACGUCCCCACUGAGACAAAGCCUGCUUCUCAGCUUAGUGUUCUAUGAACACUUCCACAGUUAUUAACUGACAGCUUCCUCUGCAAAUGACCAUUUUGCAUGUGUGUAUCGUGUGACAGGCACGAAGAUACUUUAUUGAUGCUGAAUCUACUGAUAUUUUACACAUGAAUUUUUCCUUCCUUUAAAUAUAGCCUGUUCUUUCUAGUAUCAUUGCUAAAAUAGUUUUUGGCGCUGAAACUGCUGAUAUUCAAUUCAUAAAUUUUUCCUUCUUUAAAACAUAGGCUAUUCUUUCUAGUUUCAUUGUUAAGCUAGUUUUUGGCAAAAAUUGUUGGAAAAGGUAAAAACAACGGUUAACUUUCAAUUCGUCCUGAUGGCCAUUCGGCCUAAUGACCAUUCGGCCUAAUGACCUUCGGCCCAAUGACCCAGCAUCGCUGAGAAGCAGGCUUUGUCCCAGUGAUGAUGGUACGCAAAGAAAAGGAGAGAGGAUGUAUCUACAGGAGUGCGGAUAAAACAAGGUAUUUACAUAUUCUAAGGUAGUACAAGAUGUCAAAACUGGCUGAGCGGCCAUUAUUUUUUCACCGUGAGAAAUUCUGAAAACAAAUCCCCCGCCACCUCAAAUUCCUUUGAAAUUUCGCUCCCUCUGCUUUUCUCCACAAACUAAACGUCAUGCUUAACCUUACAAUAUAUAAAAACCUUGGGAUAAAUUACGUGCGAAAGUAAAUAUGUCUAUGGAAGUUGAAGGAUAUAAAAAUGGCGCUAGAAUGUGGCGUUUCAUAAUAAGAUUUGAGUUCGUUCACAAAUUUAAAAAAGUCAAAAUUUGCAAUUUAUGACAUUCGCCCACUUCAUGACACUUUUUGUAUGGGGAGCUUAAUUUUCGGCUUAGGGACAAAACGUCAAAUGCAAGAAAGUCAAAAGGGACAAAAUGUCAAAAAUUAGUAAUGGAGGCAAAUGAGUUGUUUAUCUUUUUAAGCCUGAGGCCUUUGGUUAAAUGGACAUUUGGUUGAAAAGUAAUUUAUUCGAGCAUACGUUGUAUUACCACGGUGUUUCUUCAUAUUAGUAGUUGUUUCCUACACUUCAAAAAAUAUUCACGUCCGAUUCACGUGAAAAAUCACGUACCUAACUCCACAAUUUUAUUGUUUAUAAUCAAUUCACAUGACUCAUGUGAACUUUAAUUAUAAUCAUGUUACUUUGACUUUAGGGUAAAGUUACAUGAUUUUCCGGUCUGAAAAAAAAUAUGAGUGGAAAGAAUCUUCAAAGGGAGUAGACAAUCCCGAGCAGGGAAUAAGAACUAAUUGAAAACAAAUUGAGUUAUUUAGAUAUCACGAAUUUUCUGUAAUUCUCAACGUACCCUCUGGCCCCGAUCUGGCCGAUCUGCGCUUUAACCCCCGCUGAGCGAUACGUCUACCAGACGGAGUAUGACGAUGUUACAAACUCUGGAGGACUUCAUGAAAAGUGAGUUUCUAAUACCGUUGGUCUAGCCUUCUAGAACCUACAGCUACGGUACAAAUGUCCGAUUCUUAUUUUUUCCGUUUUUUUUUUUUCAAUGAAACAAAGGCUCCAUUCGAUGUUUAUAAAGUCAAUGCUACCAGGUUAUAAUAUAAUAUUAUUACGGAAACCCAUUCACCAACUUUUUUGGGACAAUAUUUGCUCAAAAAGUGAUAAUUUUA
This is a long non-coding RNA of Aedes albopictus (Asian tiger mosquito), 6801 nucleotides long. RefSeq lists it as uncharacterized. The record is from RefSeq and is a predicted model, not a curated record. The transcript has 2 exons. Lineage: Eukaryota; Metazoa; Arthropoda; Insecta; Diptera; Culicidae.